Molecule: long non-coding RNA, 618 nt
Organism: Panicum virgatum (switchgrass)
Lineage: Eukaryota; Viridiplantae; Streptophyta; Magnoliopsida; Poales; Poaceae
Exons: 2
Source: RefSeq, a predicted model, not a curated record
AAGCACACGGAGGUUUAGAGAGGUUUAGACCACCAGAGUGUAGCACUAGGGCUGAAAACGGUCGGAAACAAUCGGAUUUGUCUCCUUAGCACUAGAAUUCGUUCAGAUGGAAAGGGUGUUUAAUUUGUAAACACAAAUCUAUCUACAAUUCUAAGCUGUAGCCUUAGCCGCUGCUACGCGGUGCCUAUCAUUGUUAUGAGAAAUAUAAUUUCCACCUCUCCACCCAACAACAGAGUUUCUCCACGUCAAGCCUGGAAAAGGUGCUGCUUUUGUCAGGACAAAAAUGCGCAAUUAUGUCACUGGCAAUACAGUUGAGAAAACCUUUCGAGCUGGAAGUACGGAGGAACAAAGCCUGCAACCCUGGAAACUGGAGCUGUUGUCACGGUGCCCUCUUUUGUGAACGUAGGCGAUGAUAUCCUAGUUGAUUCAAGAACCGGAAAGUAUAUGAACAGAGCAUAGAGGGUUAAAGAGGAUUUUGGAUUUGAAGAGAGUACUAGUUUUUUGUUCGGCCAUUUGUCCCAUUCACAUGUACGAAUGCUCUGCAUCUUUUGUCCCUGGGAAAUUUACAUUUCGGGUGCAUGUGGAUCCUGCUGCAAAACAUUAUGUUCAAACCUUUCA